AAGACCAGUGUGCAGUUGCAGAACAUCGGCUCGAUUUCAAAUCUUUCCAACAUUCCCGACUCUUCCGUUCCCUUACUCUGAAGCAGGACAGGACAUCCCAUCUGUGGAUAGGCAGGAGAAGUGUGACCACCACAGACAGCAGCAGCACCACCGCCGCCUCCGCCAGCACCACCACCACCACCACCACCGCCACCACCCACAGACAUGUCGGACUCUGAGACCAUCGCUCCCGUUGAGGCCCCCGUCCCGGCCGCCUGCGCCGAGAUCAAGGCCAACCUGGAUAAGUGUGUGGCAGCGAACGGAGCCGAAGGCUGCAAGGACCUGUUGGAGGCCUUCGCCGCCUGUGUGAAGAGCGCGGCCGCCGAGACGUCGUGAAGACCGCCGCUCCUACCGCAAACGUCCACUGCACUGAGUCCUCCCAGUUCCCUGCAUUCCCUUCUGCACAACAGCACUGGACUGAACGACUUCUCUGGCGGCGUGAUGAGGAUCGUGUCGACCUCGGGCCGGAGGUUCGGAAUCUGGCGGCUGAAGCACCUCGACUUUAACCGUUCUCCAACCCCCCCCCCUCCCCCCCCCCGCCUCCUCUCCCCACCACCCCUCUGUUUUAGGAUAUAAUGGUGUCUUCCAACGUCUCCCCCACUGUAAACCCCCUUUCCUCUCCCCAGUAUGUGGAUACGAUGCGUUUGAAUUGUAUGCAGUUCCAGAGAGACCAUGAGGAUUUCAUGUAUAUUGUUGACUUGAAAUUAAUACAUUUAAAUGGAAAUAAAGAGUUUAAAAAAGAAUUGG
Gadus chalcogrammus (walleye pollock) is the source of this 786-nucleotide long non-coding RNA. RefSeq lists it as uncharacterized. NCBI's taxonomy places the organism in Eukaryota, Metazoa, Chordata, Actinopteri, Gadiformes, Gadidae. The transcript has 4 exons. The record is from RefSeq and is a predicted model, not a curated record.